GACUUAAAUCCGUUGGCUUUAUUGACCGUGAGGGUUCAAGUCCCUCUACCCCCAA
This 55-nucleotide transfer RNA is filed under the name Homalia lusitanica. RNAcentral's name for it is "partial tRNA-Leu". Lineage: Eukaryota; Viridiplantae; Streptophyta; Bryopsida; Hypnales; Neckeraceae. The record is from RNAcentral.